GACGGGACCCGCACAAGCGGUGGAGUGAUGUGGUUUAAUUCGAUGCAACGCGAAAACCUUACCCACCUUGACAUGGCAGGAAUCCUAAAGAGAUUGGGAGUGCUCGAAGAGAACCUGCACACAGGUGCUGCAUGGCUGUCGUCAGCUCGUGUCGUGAGAUGUUGGGUUAAGUCCCGCAACGAGCGCAACCCUUGCCAUUAGUUGCUACGAAAGGGCACUCUAAUGGGACUGCCGGUGACAAACCGGAGGAAGGUGGGGAUGACGUCAAGUCCUCAUGGCCCUUAUAGGUGGGGCUACACACGUCAUACAAUGGCCGGUACAAAGGGUCGCCAACCCGCGAGGGGGAGCCAAUCCCAUAAAGCCAUUCGUAGUCCGGAUCGCAGUCUGCAACUCGACUGCGUGAAGUCGGAAUCGCUAGUAAUCGUGGAUCAGAAUGUCACGGUGAAUACGUUCCCGGGUCUU
Molecule: ribosomal RNA, 462 nt
Filed under: uncultured Allobrachymonas sp.
Lineage: Bacteria; Pseudomonadati; Pseudomonadota; Betaproteobacteria; Burkholderiales; Comamonadaceae
Description: bacterial SSU rRNA
Rfam family: Bacterial small subunit ribosomal RNA
Source: RNAcentral